CCAUCACCAUCAUCAGUGGAUGCCUUUGCUGUCCGUAGCCUGAGAUUUCAGAUUUGCAGCAAAAAAUUUUUGAUUUUCUCAUUUAUUGGAAUGCUGUGCAGGUAUUUGUACCUUGCAGCCAUCCAUUACAAUGUCACCAAGCCGUAACAAAAGCAGGAGAGGGAAAGUACAAGGCUAUGUUCCCAAAACACACAAGUGACAUACCUUAUGUGGAGGAUGUGAUCAGGCUUGUAUUUGAUGAGGUAUUUGAAGAUAAGCUGAAGGAAGCCCUGAUUCCAAUGGACCUGGCAUCACAGUUUGAGAGACCUUCAAAGGAGGACGUGAUUGCAUGCCAUCUUCAGUGCAGGGGUCGUCGAAAGCCAAAAUUGUGACCGAUCUGAUCAGGAAGCUCCAAGCGUAUCUGGAGAACAACACACGGCAGGAUGAUAACCUUAUAGUGUCGUCUUAAAUAGCACCAGCUGACAAAGCUUUGAUAUGCCAUUUAUCUGAAUAGAUAGCUGUAAGAAAUGAAUUGAACAAUUUUUGAAAC
Paramisgurnus dabryanus is the source of this 529-nucleotide long non-coding RNA. RefSeq lists it as uncharacterized. The record is from RefSeq and is a predicted model, not a curated record. Lineage: Eukaryota; Metazoa; Chordata; Actinopteri; Cypriniformes; Cobitidae.